CAAUAAGUGUUUUAUGGCACUUUUUCAAUCCAUAUCCACCUUGUGUGCAAUGUUGUCUUGUAGCGCAAAUGACAAGCAUUCGCGUUACAGGAUGUAAACAUCAACUCUUAUUUUUAACAACUUUGUCUGAAAACCUGUAUGAAUACUUAAUUCAAAUA
This 158-nucleotide unclassified non-coding RNA is filed under the name uncultured Mortierellaceae. Its description in RNAcentral is "sequence contains ITS1". Lineage: Eukaryota; Fungi; Mortierellomycota; Mortierellomycetes; Mortierellales; Mortierellaceae. The record is from RNAcentral.